AUAACAUUCCCUGGGAAACACACAGGUUGGCAGUACAACAGAGACCCUACCUCGAGCUUGAAGCAUGCGUUAUGGGUCAAGUUGUAUCUUUCAAAAGAAGACAUAAUGAAGACCUAACUCUCAGUCCCUCAGAAUGUGGCCUCAUUUGGAAAUAGGGUCUUCAUUAAGUGUGAGAACACAGCAACAAGAGACAAGGCACCAUCCAUGGAGCAGAGAGCAGCCCUCACCAAACACCAGAUCCUUCCAGCACUUGGAUCUUGGACUUCACAGACUCUACAAGGACAAGAAAGAAAAAGGCCAUCAACACGCUCUGCCACUCACACCUCAGCCCAGCCUACACCAAAGCUUUAGGCUGCUGUCAGGUCUUCCUAGCGAGCAGUCUUGCUUUCCCUCCCAAGGGACCAUGUCAAGGCAAACCAAGGUAGAAAAAUAUCUUCCCUUUCCCAUCUUUCUCAUGUGCGUGACAAGAGAAAAUGAAGGUUCGCUGAAGCCCACAUGGGACUGUGAGUGGACGGAGCCUCCCAUAAAUCUUCAUUCAUGACUUCGAUGGAAGGGAGACGGGAUGCCACCAGAUCUACCAACACCAUCCAUUUCCUUUUUAGAAGAUUCAGGCUGCAGGCCAGCCUUUCACC
Long non-coding RNA from Mus caroli (Ryukyu mouse), 632 nucleotides. RefSeq lists it as uncharacterized. The record is from RefSeq and is a predicted model, not a curated record. NCBI's taxonomy places the organism in Eukaryota, Metazoa, Chordata, Mammalia, Rodentia, Muridae.